AUAUUGUCAAUACUCUGUGGGCCGAGGGAGUUUUUGCCCCAUUCUAAGACGACGUCCUCCCUGAGGUGCUCCUGCUUCUGCGAGAGCCUGCUCCCGAGGCCGACCAGCUGCAGGAUCCCUGGAUGCAGAACUCAACCAGGGGACAGAUGCAUCUGCAUUUUAUGCAAAUAGCAACUUCGUGGAUCAGUUUCUCCUCUCUCUGUGGAACAGUAGCAUCUGGAAAAUAGAAUUCCAAGAGCUCUAGCACAUUCACAGGUGACCAGAAGUGACCAAACAACACAGUUUCUUUAUCACCCCUGUGAACAUCAGGAAGUGGUGCAAAGGAGAGCCAGCUCAUGGAAGGAGGUAGCAUUCUGCUCUACCGAAGUCUUAACAGAACAGUAAUAUUCUUUGCCAUGGGAGGAAACUACAAUUUACAGAAUAUUCACGGCCCUCAUGCUGCUGCUUCCAUUAUUUUUAAGAAAGCUUGAUAAAUAGUAAAUGCCAACUGUAUGCCAAGGAUCCCUGAGUUGCAUAAUAGCUGAAAUAGACAGGUCAUGUUUGCUGAUGGCCUGUCUAAAUUUCACUUCUGCUUUCAGCAUUGUGGAUAACAGCAA
Long non-coding RNA from Ochotona princeps (American pika), 596 nucleotides. RefSeq lists it as uncharacterized. The transcript is spliced from 3 exons. The record is from RefSeq and is a predicted model, not a curated record. Lineage: Eukaryota; Metazoa; Chordata; Mammalia; Lagomorpha; Ochotonidae.